GUACACGCUGUGACUAGCAUAUCAAUAAGCGGAGGAAAAGAAACUAACAAGGAUUCCCCUAGUAACGGCGAGUGAAGCGGGAAGAGCUCAAAUUUGAAAUCUUAAAGGGUUUCCCUUUACGAAUUGUAGUUUAAAGAAGUGUUUUCUGUUGAGGUUUUGGUAAAAGUUCUUUGGAAUAGGACAUCAUAGAGGGUGAGAAUCCCGUAUUUGACCUUUACUCUCAACUUUGUGAUACACUUUCAAAGAGUCGGAUUGUUUGGGAAUGCAGUCCAAAAUGGGUGGUAAAUUUCAUCUAAAGCUAAAUAUUGGCGAGAGACCGAUAGCGAACAAGUACCGUGAGGGAAAGAUGAAAAGAACUUUGAAAAGAGAGUUAAACAGUACGUGAAAUUGUCAAAAGGGAAGCGUUUGACACCAGUGUUGUUUUUCUGAAAAUCAAUUAAAGAACUGUUUAUGCUAAGUUGUUUAGACUUUAUCAGCUAUCUGUUUAGUUUUGAGCUUUUCUUUAAUGCACUUUUCAGUUAACAAGUCAACAUCAAUUUCUUUUGCUGUAAAAAAGCUUGAGGAAGGUGGCUUGAGAUUCGUCUUAAGUGUUUAUAGCCUCUUGCCUAUGCAGUCGGAGAGAUUGAGGUCUGCAGCGUAGAUCCUUCGGGGCUAAAUGCAUUUGUGCUAAGUUAUAGCAUUUUAUAGACAACUUGUUGACUAUGAUUUGUCUUGUAGCUUACUCGCUUAUGUUAUUUUACCUACGCUUAGGAUGUUGAAGAUGUAGCACAUCAU
RNAcentral lists this ribosomal RNA (774 nucleotides) under uncultured Neocallimastigales. RNAcentral describes it as "partial large subunit ribosomal RNA". It matches the Rfam family "Eukaryotic large subunit ribosomal RNA", at positions 22 to 635 of the family's 3401-position model. Lineage: Eukaryota; Fungi; Neocallimastigomycota; Neocallimastigomycetes; Neocallimastigales. The record is from RNAcentral.